GACGAACGCUGGCGGCGUGCUUAACACAUGCAAGUCGAACGAAGAGCGACGGAAGCUUGCUUCUAUCAAUCUUAGUGGCGAACGGGUGAGUAACGCGUAAUCAACCUGCCCUUCAGAGGGGGACAACAGUUGGAAACGACUGCUAAUACCGCAUACGAUCUAAUCUCGGCAUCGAGGAUGGAUGAAAGGUGGCCUCUACAUGUAAGCUAUCACUGAAGGAGGGGAUUGCGUCUGAUUAGCUAGUUGGAGGGGUAACGGCCCACCAAGGCGAUGAUCAGUAGCCGGUCUGAGAGGAUGAACGGCCACAUUGGGACUGAGACACGGCCCAGACUCCUACGGGAGGCAGCAGUGGGGAAUCUUCCGCAAUGGACGAAAGUCUGACGGAGCAACGCCGCGUGAGUGAUGACGGCCUUCGGGUUGUAAAGCUCUGUUAAUCGGGACGAAAGGCCUUCUUGCGAAUAGUGAGAAGGAUUGACGGUACCGGAAUAGAAAGCCACGGCUA
Molecule: ribosomal RNA, 502 nt
Filed under: Veillonella parvula
Lineage: Bacteria; Bacillati; Bacillota; Negativicutes; Veillonellales; Veillonellaceae
Description: bacterial SSU rRNA
Rfam family: Bacterial small subunit ribosomal RNA
Source: RNAcentral